RNAcentral lists this ribosomal RNA (450 nucleotides) under uncultured bacterium. Its description in RNAcentral is "bacterial SSU rRNA". It matches the Rfam family "Bacterial small subunit ribosomal RNA", at positions 328 to 795 of the family's 1533-position model. The record is from RNAcentral.
UUGCCAGACUCCUACGGGAGGCAGCAGUGGGGAAUAUUGCACAAUGGGGGGAACCCUGAUGCAGCGAUGCCGCGUGGAGGAAGAAGGUUUUCGGAUUGUAAACUCCUUUUAUCAGGGACGAUAAUGACGGUACCUGAAGAAAAAGCUCCGGCUAACUACGUGCCAGCAGCCGCGGUAAUACGUAGGGAGCGAGCGUUGUCCGGAAUUACUGGGUGUAAAGGGAGCGUAGACGGCAGCACAAGUCUGGAGUGAAAUGCCGGGGCUUAACCCCGGAACUGCUUUGGAAACUGUGCAGCUAGAGUGCAGGAGAGGUAAGUGGAAUUCCUAGUGUAGCGGUGAAAUGCGUAGAUAUUCGGAGGAACACCGGUGGCGAAGGCGGCCAACUGGGCUUUAACUGACGCUGAGGCUCGAAAGUGUGGGGAGCAAACAGGAUUAGAUACCCCAGUAAAC